This is an RNA transcript of Solenopsis invicta (red fire ant), 2106 nucleotides long. RefSeq lists it as uncharacterized. The record is from RefSeq and is a predicted model, not a curated record. The transcript has 4 exons. Lineage: Eukaryota; Metazoa; Arthropoda; Insecta; Hymenoptera; Formicidae.
AUCUUUAAUAAUAUCUCAUCGAUGGUUCUAUCGAACUAAUCACAUGUUUGUUGCAUUACUCCUGUGUAUCUCAUACAUGGAAUAAAAACCUUAACCUUAAUUACAUAACGUGAAAACAUGUGAUGAUUACGACUUACCGGCGAGAUCGAAGCAUUUAGUUUAUCGAAGAUUGAUAGUUUAGCGAAAAUGCAGAAUUUAGAUGCGCAUGAAAUUUAUUAUCAGUUAUUACGAGAAGAACACGAAGCGUUACGCGAAGCGAAAUCGUAUCAACAAUGGACAACAUUAUUCGAAAAUAAGCGAAGCAGAAUUCGUGCGAUUAAAAACUUCAACGCGAGCAGAGCAAAGAUUGAAUCAAGAGGGCAGAUUGAUUCAACAAUAUUACGAGAGGAAGAACAAUGUCUGAAGGAAUUUGACGACGUUAUAGUCAAUCAUUACGCAACAAAUACGCAACAAACACGCAUGGUAGAUGCAUUCCGUCUUUCUGACGAAGACAACCAACCAUUCUACGACGUAACAGUUGUAAUUACAUUAACAAGAUUAAACAAAGAUGCGAGACAAUUACCACGAGAAUGUUUUCUCACUUAUCGUCUACAAGAUGAUAUAAUCGAACGACAAGCUCAACUAGGACCACCGUUCAAUACACAAAACUGCGAUGGAAUACGAGAAGAAAAAAUCGAAACAGUAGAACAUGAUAUAAUGAGCGUAACACAAAUAGUAAGAGCAGCAUCACAAGAACAAUGUCUACAAAACGAUAUAAUUGAAUGUAAAGCUCAACUAGAAUCAUCAUUUGAUACACGAAACUGCGAAGAAAUGCGAGAAGUAAAGAUUGAAACAGCAGAAUAUCCAAGAAUGCAGAGUUUUACACAAUCAGCAAACAUUUCGUCAUCCUUGACGACAAUUACGCCACAAGACACAAUGAACGUAACACGAAUAAUAACAUCAGCAUCACAAGAACAACAGACAACAUUACAAAAAUCACCCGAGACGAUAAAAUCGUUCCAGAUGCAAAUUGUAUCUCAAGAGGAUACGAACGAUCAACGAUUGUGCAGUAGUGCAACACCAAUACGCAAAACAAAGCAUGAGAUUCAACGGAUGAGAUUUCACUCCAGAGUACAGCAACAAUAUACACCGAGGAUCGCCAACACUGAUAGUGACAUAACAAACAAUACAAGAGAUGAAAACUUUACUCCAAAAAGGAAAAGAAUGAGGGUAAAACGCAAAACUCCCACAGAGACAAUACCAACCACAAUGAGCAAAGCAUAUUAUGCAGCCAUAAGGAAAAGAGAUGUCAAGGGUAGAUUCAUCAAAGGCAAGAUACUUUACAACCAAUUGUCAAAAUUACAAGAAAUUUCCAAGCGGCCACUCAUCCAACCUGGCGAUCGCGGUGGACGAUGCUUGACUUCUGCGACUGCUGCGAACUAAUAGGAUAUCCUAAGGAGAUACAUUGCUGUAUGGGAACCGUACAACUGCGCAGGCUGAGAUUGCAUCUAUGACCAAAGUGAAGAAGGUUGAAUUUACCGAGAGACUCGACGAGCAGUACAACAAUCGAGAAAAGCCACAAAAAUCGCAAAAGACAGUAGUGUCGAGAUAAUGCCAAAGAAGACUAAGACAAUGAUGACACAUAAAGACAUCCCAACAAAGUUUAAGUAUCUCAAGCGAGGGAGUCACAAAGACUUACAUAUGCAAACAUAAAUACAUAAUCAACAGUAAUCACAGCACAUCAUUGAAGAUUAGAAUAUCUAUUCGGCAUAAAAAGCAUUAUAAGAAAAACUCUGCAAACAUUAUUAUUUGUUAAAUUACAUCUACAACAAUUUUCUCGUUAUAUCGUAUUUUCACAAACGCUUAGCGAUUAAUAACACGUAAAAACAUAAACAAAAUCAACAAUAAUCAUGUCAGGAUUAAAAAUUACAAUAUCUAUUCGGUAUAAGAAACAAUCUUAUAAAAAAAUUUCUACAAUUAUUACUAUUUUCAAAGUUAAACCACAACAAUUUUAUAUUAUAUCAUAUUUUCAAAUGCUUAGCGAUAUUACCUUAAAAUACAAAAAACGUAAUUAAUAAUAAUCAAGCUAUACAAUUAACAAUUAAAAUAUUUAUUUAGCACAACAAA